GUGGCUGUCUCUAUGUUGGUCCUCCUUGCGUGUUUGCGAAGUAAACUUCAUGGAAUUAUGCAGCCCAUCUAUGAAAAAUGGAUUCCAUAUCUGGAUUACAUAUGUGCCUUCCUUGGAAUCUUCGCUGGAGGUGCUCGUCGCUGGAGGUGCUGUGUGUGUGUGUGUGCAACUGAGGUGGACCACCUGGAUUAUAUUGUACUACGUCGACAGUCGACACCGUUGGAUCGCCGUUCAUGCGGUCAGACGUUAAGUUCUUUUUAGUCAACGGCCUGGUUCCUUGCACCCUCUCAAACUCUAGCUCUUUGAAGCUGACGCGUUAAUUUUGAACACAAUUCCGUCGUGGCCUGUAGAAGAAUGUGGGUGGGACUUUCGGCUUGGUCGAGGAACCUUAACGCUGGGAGGGCGAGAAGUUCAUUUGUCUCCGGCGUGCCAAGGUUAGGCGUAUCUGACGCGCUGUCUCGUAAGCCGGUUCGUAAUGUCGUAGUUACGGCAACCUUCCACUCGGUUACCACGAGUAGAGUUGUCCCAGUAUUUUGUCUAACUGGCUUGCCUGUACCGGAAGUCUACAAUGUAAAACAUUUUCGAUGUCUUUUUGUAGUCGAGGACUUACGAAGUUUUUAUUUCGUAUAGGUGAGAGCUUAUUUUUUACCAGGACAGGAAUGGCGCAUUCAUAGUAGCCCACGACUUGAAUUCGUAUACCAUCGAAAUUUGUUGACCGUAACUUGUUGGCGUUAUAUCAGCUGCAAACCUCCUUUAACCGAAUCCUGUUCGGGAAUCCCUGUAGUCUUGGGCAGAUACCAAGGUCAGGUGUUUCCUCUUGGCCUGUGGACUGUUUGCCGUCCACGACAGCCUUCUUUGUUCAGGUAUUAACACAUAGUACUAACCUGUAACGCUCAUUCUUGUGAUUUUGCAUGCAGCCUCGUUAGGUUAGUGUCUUGCCACACUUUCUGAAACUGUCCGUCUCCUUCCUGCAUGUCUCCGUCGGAUUUCAUUCUUGCAUGAACGAUGGUUGUGUCCUAGAGCAUCCCAUGUCUCUGCCCAAGACGUCGCCCCUUACCUUACUCGAUAAUGGAACUGUCGGAGUUUCUACAGAAUUCCGUAGAGUAUAAACCUUUCACCUGCGAGUCUUGCUGAAUUUGCGCUCCGCCCUAAAUUCAGUGUUCGGAAAAUUUGUUGGCUGCUAUGAAGCGUCACUACAACCCUUGGCACGUCUUGGAUUUCCUUUGGUCUCUCUAGCUACAGCCCCAGGCGCGUAAAAGUGGGUGGAGCUUAGGCGUGUUGCAUACCCGUUGCCCCGUAGGUGUUUAUCUAAAUUUUCUCGGAGGCCACUAUGGACAUUGACGCGUUUAAUAUUGUCGCGAGUGUUCCAGUACACAUUGUUCACACUAUGCUCACUGCAUCUCACAAGACACACCAUGUCGUCAUACUUACCUCUGAUAGCUUAGCUUCUUCGCGCGUCUUCACCUUGUUAACGCCCGUGCCAGCACCUCACACGCACUUCACACCUUUCUGUUGAAAUAGUUGCUCCUUCGGAGCCUCCGUUCAGCAGAAUGCGGUUGAAUGCACCUACUGUCUUCACAGGGCCGGGAUGGAGGGUUUGCGAUUGCAAGGUGGGCCUCGUUCGCUGGGUUGGGGUGGUGAGUACAAUAUUGACGCGACGCGUGAAGCGACGAGUGUCUCAGCUUUGAGGAUAGAUCGGCUCAGGCAGGCGUACAGAUAGCUUAGGCAAUCGUAGCCCGGGUGCUUGGUGCCGGCUGUGCAACGGUGAAGGUAGUCAGGGAGUAAACUUUGUCUCGCGUGUUCAACUUGGCAAGGUAAGCCUUACACCCUCACAUCACACUCGCUACACACAUUGGGCAUGAUUCGAUUAACUGACCAGUUCGGACUUUGAGAGAGACCAGAGGGUUGUAAUAUAUGCUGACAUGUCUCGCCGCAAUUUCUUCUCAAACAGCUUGAUUGCUUCUAAGAGCUUUGGCUCCCAUUUCCUACCCAGAUUAUCAUUCCAACUUAAUUUUAAUCAACUUUAAGAUGCUGAUAUGCUACGUAAUCAACAUGAUGACUUGUCUGCUUAAACGUGCCAUCUUUGUUGGGCUCUACUUUCGUGGUUCUCGGAGCUUUCGGUCGUAGAGCCUCGCAAACCUCUAUACGGGGGGACGUAAUCGGUUUGUAGACAGGGUGCUUCGAAAGAAUAAAAAUUCUCAUUCAAAACUCAAAUCUUUACGAACAAUCCUCAUUCGUUUCCAAAACUCCUCACCAAUUCGGAUUAAAUUCCAAAUCUUUCGAAUCACCCUAUCUAUUAAUACGUAUAGCGCUAUGCCAUCCAUGGCAUGCUUCCAUGAUCAGCUUUGCUUAGAAGACUUCUUGCUUAACUUGUUAUAAUUAUUUGUUCAUACCUUAUUUGUACUCGACGGUUCCAGAUUCUGUAGAUUAUAGACACCCUUACAAACGUGUGACGUCACCAUAAGACUGGCUCGAGGUUAUAUAUUUUGCUGUGGUGGGCAAGAAGCGCGGAAAGGCUAGUCUGCUGGUAGACCGAUAAGGUUGAUGGGUGCCCACCCGCAUACUUUGCGCCACGGCGGACCUUAAUCGAUGACGUAGGGGAGCAGGUAGUCUAUAGACAACCAGCGCCCCCUCCCCUUGGGCCCCUACGUCAUUAAGUGACGCCACCGCGCAAACCAUGCUGGUGCGCUCUAUCAGCAGACGCGUUUUUCCCCGCUUCUUUCUCACCCUUACAAACAUGUAACGUCACGAUAAGACUGCCCAAGUAGCACAAUGUACUGCGAUUGGCGGUGGACAGUAUGUGUCUUAUCAAUGUUCUUUGGUUUCACGGGUCAGUUCAAGGCCUUCCACCUACCCGUCCACCCCUAUAGCACUCGACUUUCAGUACAUUGUACUGCUUGGGUGGUUCGAGGUUAAUUUUGCUGUUGUGGGCAAGAAGCGGGAAAAACGUGUCUGCUGAUAGGCCGAAAAGGCUGAUAAGGUUGAUAGGUGGCCAUCGGCAUGCUUUUCGCCACGGCGAAACUUAAUCGAUGACGUAGGGGAGCAGGUAGUCUAUAGACUACCUGCGUCCCCACCCUUGGGCCCCUACGUCAUUAAGUAACGCCACAGCGCAAAGCAUGCUGGUGCGCACUAUCAGCUUUCAGCCAACACGUUUUCCCGCUUCUUGCUCACCAAAGCAGAUAACCUCGAACCUGUCUUCUCAUGACGUCACAUGUUUGUAAACAGAGGAUAGUCUAUACUGGGGGGGGAUGAACUUCAUGUGGACUCAACUCCAUGCUGCGAUUUUUUCUUUAUGCCGUUCCUUUUACGAUUUUCUUCUUUUUUUCUUUUUUUUUUUUUUUUUCACCGUCUCGUACGUAUCCGCUUGCCAAACCAACUUAAUCCAUGUUCGCGUCUGCGAUAUCCUCCUCCACGUGGCUUUUUAUUUUUUCGCCUUAGUUCUAACGUUUAGCUACGAUGACGCUUAUUAUGUAAUCUAUUUUUGGCUUCGCGUACGGCUUCACGUAAUUUUCGUUCGCGCCGUACGGACAGCAAGUACCCUGGCAGCUGCACAUCGCUCUUCUCUAUGCGUAAGUUGAAGUUCCUUGUAAGUUGAACAAUUCAUCGAUAUAUGCUGCAAUAAUGGUUUUUCACCUUUCAGAAAUGCAAAGAUAUUGCGACGAUUGUAAGGUGACAAACGCUAUUUUGGUUUCAAUUGCUAAUGCAACAACCGAAGAGGAAAUGGGUAAGACGAGGUCAAAGUAAGUUCCUUGCCUCGAAGUUCCCGUGGUCUUACAGUAUCAUUCGCCACUCAGUGUAACAUCACUGCUGUCGUUGGUUUAAUGAGUUUUUAGUCUUUAAAAGUGUUCCAGAGGUUCCUGUCCUUGCCUGGCGUUGCUGAAUGUAAUCCUUCCAAGACUGGUGCCUUGGUCUGCCCGUUUGUAUGUACUGUCUGGCCUUCUGGCGAAUUUUUGCAACCUUCCUCGUAAAUGACACGGUAUCUGGCACUGAAAGUCUGCUGUCAAUGUAAAGUGUAACCCUGGAGAGCUCCUCUAGCAUUACAAGCAAACGCUACGUCGUUUGAUUAUUGUCCUUGCACUUGUAACAUUGCAUCGUGCGUGACAUUUAAACACUUGCGGCUGUAUUGUGAUAGUAUAAAUAUUUAGCCUGCUCAAGAGGAUUGGCCAUCUGCACAGAACCCUCGACUUUAAAGUAACUCGUUUGCAAAUGCGAAAACUGCACCGAAUCUGCUCUUCCUGGACCCCUUUGCUUUCACAAGUUCUUUUCUUCCAGAUUGCUGCGUGCUGUCCUGGCUGGCUGUGCUGUCCUAUCCUGUCCUAUACUGCCCUGUCCUGGCUGUCCGACGGCUACAACACCCCCCCGAAGUCAAAGGCCUUCCUGAAGUCUUUCCCAUCCAGACAGAACCGGGCUCCUGGUACCUUCUGCGACAACCAGUCGAACCGCUAGGAUUUAUCGGAUCCAUUAGGGCAGUUUCCGCCGCCGUUCUAGCAUUGUAUAAUUUUAGGCAGGUACUCAAAGAAAAUGUCAAUGCGUGGAUAUACCGUACGUUUAGAAUUGUAUAACUGUCUGCACAGACUUUGCUCACCUGGUCCACUCGGCUCCAAAUUUUAACUGUUCCAGGAAUUACGUGACGCCUGGAAAGUUGUUUUGCAGGCACCGUUUCUAUCUUUGACCCUAGACGAAAGAUGUGCGCACAUAAUCACCUUCCCAGGGGUUCUUGUAACUUUCUCUACUUGCCCCCCCCCCCCCCCCUCUCCGUUCUUUUUUCCUUUGCUCUCCCGCGGUGUCUGCAAAACAUUUGUCUAAAAUUCGUAACAUCCUCAAUUUCUAGUUUCUAAAAUUUCCAAAAUCUUCCCCAGGGAUUGCAUUGUCUGUGCUAAUUGCCUGAAAACGGGCCAUAAUUGUAUUCACCGCAUAUGCGGCUGUUUGAUUCGUAUGACCAGAAAAUACAAGAUUUAAUUUGU
Long non-coding RNA from Ornithodoros turicata, 4964 nucleotides. RefSeq lists it as uncharacterized. NCBI's taxonomy places the organism in Eukaryota, Metazoa, Arthropoda, Arachnida, Ixodida, Argasidae. The transcript has 3 exons. The record is from RefSeq and is a predicted model, not a curated record.